UCAGGAAGCGACAGAAACGAAAAAAGGUCCGUUUUUUCAUUUUCUGAGACCGGAAGUGGUCAUCAGCAAGUGUGGAGCCAAACGACAACAACAUUCUCAGAGGGCGGAGCCAGAGAGCAGUGAGUGGUCAGACCAUAGAUAAUAUAGAAGACAGCGCGCUAGUAUCAUCUAUGGUCAGCACGUCUGGUAGCGUCUCUGGCUGCUGUUGACCUUGUUUUUGGAGUAAAACACGGUGGAAGCUGAAUUAGUGAGGAUGACUCCUGCUCCUGUCAUCUCUAAGCUCCUCACACAUCUUUACCUGCACAUGAGGAAAAUCACUCCUGUAGAAUGCAGAUGUUCAGAAGGAGAUGAUGCCGCAUCUGGUCCAGCUGAUGGAAGGUCUUGAAGUUCUCUGACUGGCCUGGACUGAAGAUGAAAACUGUGAUGGUGUUGGAUUGUCAGACCGUAAUGUUGCAGCUCAAAGCAGCUUUUCUAGCUCAGUUCAUUCUGACAUUCAGCUAUGAAUCAACACAGCAGAUGGUGAUCCAUGCUGUGGAAGUCUCACAUCUCCUGAUUUAAUGGAGCUGCUUUGCACUUUUUACACUGUUUAUUCACCAACACUUUAUUUAAUAAAAGUCCCAUCUAGUUUUCAUGAGGAAUGUGAUGUUUUAAUUUCUCUGUGAAUAACUGCAGUCUAAUGCAACAGCUGGAAUUGUAACAUCUGUCCUGAUAUUGAUCAUGAAGUAUUGAUCAGAAUACUUAUGGUUAGCAGUCAUCCCUGAAGUUUUACAUUAAAAUCUUUACUUGUGUUGUGAACUUUGGUAAGAAGCAGAAACGUUAGCGUUGCCAUGGAUACAUGAGUGUUAAAUUCUGUCCAUGUUUCCAUUUUGGGAAAUGUAGUCCAGUUCCAGAAUGUGGAGGAAUUUAGUCUCACAAUCACAGACAACAAAUAUUAUCUGAAAGUCAGGUUAUUGUUGUUUAUCAGCACAAUACACAAAGAUUAAUGUUAGAAAUAUUCCAGUUAAUACUCUAGAAUAGCAGGAUUUAUGUAAAUUUACCUCAAUAAUAUGAAUGUUCAGGUUAAGAUUGUUCAGUGAUAUUUAUUAUGCAAGUUUAGCUGAUUAAAGUUUAUGACUCUGCACUAAAAUAUUAUUUAAAUUGACAUCAUUAUUAUAAUAUUUAGGGUCAGACCCUACAGUAUUGAGAUUAAGAAAUCAAAUAUUCUAUAAAAUGUAAAUACACUGAAUUCAUUUGGAUAUAUUUAAGUGAGACUCUACAAUAUUAUUUGACACAAAUCUAUCUAAAUCAAAAUUUUAAUAAUUUUCACACCAAACAUUUACUGGACUGAUUUAAAUAUUAAAAUCACUCCUUUCUAAUCCUCUGCUGUACGUUCAAACCUGAGGCCUUAAAUAGAAACACACAAGUAUCUGAUUGAAGGAACUUCUGCAGAGUCCUGGUUCCAGAAUAUGAUGAUAGAAUUAUAGACAAACUUUAACAAAAGCUGCCUGAGAGUUUACAGGUUUUUAUGUUAGAUUUCUUCAGUAAUUUAAUGAGAAUUAUCAGCAAAAAUCAAGUGUUCAUUUGAUGAACUUCAUUUCCUAAAACAUCCAGAAUUGGAGCUCAUGUCUUUGGCAGCUGUAAAGUUUCUGCUCCUUCAAAGCUCACAACACAAUGAAUGAAUUCCUAAAACAUUCAAUGCUGGAGAGCGUUUGUGAUGCUGAAGCAGUGAUCAGUUUUUCUGUUUCUUCUCUGGAGAUGCACAAUGAGGGACGUCUGCAGCAACUGAGAAAGAGUCUUACCACAUCCUGACAUGAGGAAAAAGACUUUAUUGAAGACUGCAAUGAGAAAAACUAUCAGACAGCAGACGGCUGCAUUCAAGUCUGUAGCUGCUGAAUUCAUGGAUGAAUCAUCUGGCACUAGAGAGGAAGACCAUCAAACAUCCACGUCAGCCGAUGGAGGUCCAACAGUCUCACCGAACAACCAACCUACAGAGUGAAGACCUUGAAUCUGAUUGGACGGCCUCCUAUUCAGCCACAUGCUGUUAGAUUGUUCCAGAUAAGACAAGUACAAGAUUCUUCAGAGCCGUUCUACCACGAGCCUGACAGGAAGAACUCCAACAGCUACUGAAUGUUCCUGUGGUUCCCUCAAGGCUACAGGAGUCCUACGAGGACGAGCCGGUCCACCUGACGGUGGC
This is a long non-coding RNA of Amphiprion ocellaris (clown anemonefish), 2173 nucleotides long. RefSeq lists it as uncharacterized. The record is from RefSeq and is a predicted model, not a curated record. Lineage: Eukaryota; Metazoa; Chordata; Actinopteri; Pomacentridae. The transcript is spliced from 5 exons.